This 835-nucleotide long non-coding RNA is filed under the name Brassica napus (rape). Its description in RNAcentral is "long non-coding RNA (BNAP_LNC022022)". Lineage: Eukaryota; Viridiplantae; Streptophyta; Magnoliopsida; Brassicales; Brassicaceae. The record is from RNAcentral.
CAGCAUUUUACAAAAUCCCUUAAUUCACUGAACCCUCCUCAUAUUCUCUGACCCUCUCUAAAGUCUUUUAUUAAUAGCCUCAAAGAUUUACUAUUUAAAGUAUCAUAAGCUACUAGUAGUUUUAUACAUAUUCAAAGAUCAGACCAAACCCACUUCUUGUUUUGUUUUAGGACAAAGAAAUCUUGGUCUUCUUCAUCUCUUGCAUAAAAGUACUUCCUUUCAAAGAUCAGACCAAACCCACUUCUGGGUCGUGGUGGUUUGCUUUAAAGCUGCAUUGGUCAACUAGAAACUUCGAAAAGGUAGUUGCUUUAGCUUGCAUUCAAGUCAUGGACGUCGGAGAAAGAAAUAACCGGAAAAACGUCAACUUCAACCGUCCGCCGGCAAUGGUGUUGGAGAACAGCAAGCAUGAGUUACGUCGGACGCAGAAAAGGUUGAUGAUUCCGGCAAGUUAUUUCAGUUUAAAGUCUCUGGUUCUGCUGGUGGGUCUAACGGCGUCUAUGUUGAUCCUUCCGUUAGUUUUGCCGCCGUUACCUCCUCCACCCUUUAUGCUUCUUUUGAUUCCGAUUGGUAUUAUGGUCUUACUAGUCGUUCUUGCCUUCAUGCCUUCUUAUUCUAAGGCCAAAGAUGUAACUUGCACUUUUACGUAAAUCCCUUAUUAUCCCCUAUAUAUUAUUUGAGAAGUAUUACAACUUUUUUUAUAGUCACAUGUCAUCACUAGAUUGGUAUUAUGGUCUUACUAGUCGUUCUUGCCUUCAUGCCUUCUUAUUCUAAGGCCAAAGAUGUAACUUGCACUUUUAUGUAAAUCCCUUAUUAUCUCCUAUAUAUUAUUUGAAAA